ACAUUUAAUUUUAAAAGAUUAAAAUUAACAUACACUCCCUUCAAUAAACUUCAAACGGAAAUAAAUUUAUACGUGUAUAAAUCUUUAGUUGAUAGUUUUUUUGUCUGAAAUGUUUAAAGGCGAACUAUUUGGCUAUUUGACCAUUUUUUAUUUAAUUAUCUUAGCAACGCGAGACAGCACAGAUGCGGCGCCAGUACGAGCAGGGAUAAAACGAAUAAUUGAAAUCAAACCGGAACCAGUUUCAAGGAACGACUUUUUAGAGCUAAUGCCAGAGAUAGAGAAGGCAAUGACAAAUGUAAUGGACUAUUCGAUAACCCACGAACAGCUCCCAAAAAGAAAAAAAAAGCCACGGAAGUAUGUAGCUUCCCAAAGAAGGCGCCAAAAUAAAAAAAUGCCGACGAUCAAAGCCAAGUCCAAUGAUCAGGAAUCAAACCGCGAUAAACCAAAUAAAAAUAAUGUCGAUAAAUCCGAGAUAACCUUACCGACACUAGGAGUUAUGGAACGAAGGAACUUUGUAAACCUCAGAAUGAAUCCAUAUAUGAGAGCCCCGGGUGACGCAUACAAUCCACAAGAAGGUGCUCUUCCAUCCGUGUGCAUUGAUAGGUCGACUAUAUACAAUAUACCUAGAGUUGAAAAAUAUUUGGAUGUCGAAAAUAUUCUGGUAGCUGUUUGGAAUGAAUAUAAUUAUAAGGAUUGGCUAAAUGCUCGGGUACUGCAAAUGGACUUGCGAACCGAGCUAUUUGCAAAUGGCAAUUCUGAAGAGUGCCACACAACUGACUAUAGAGAUUGGCGAAGCUUCUUGGAGUGUUCCCUGAAACGUCACCAGCGAAUGGAAUACAUGAUUCCAAAAUAUCCGUUACACCAAAUACCCUAUCAUUUUUGGACAAUUCUCAGAGGAAACACAAUUAAUUAAUGUAACUAAGAUGCAGUGCUAUAGUAACUAACUGGAAUACACAAUGCUGAUUGUAAAUUAUUAAAUAACUAGACAAAAAGCACUCAAUAUAAAUGUGCCUAUUUAUAUUUUUUAAAAA
Drosophila montana is the source of this 1031-nucleotide long non-coding RNA. RefSeq lists it as uncharacterized. The transcript has 3 exons. The record is from RefSeq and is a predicted model, not a curated record. NCBI's taxonomy places the organism in Eukaryota, Metazoa, Arthropoda, Insecta, Diptera, Drosophilidae.